CUCUCUAUAAGAGCUUGUCCUAGCCAUGAAAAAUCUUUUAGGACAAGUCUAUCUUUCCUCUAUAGGAAGAACAACCAACAUAUUACCUUCAAUGGUUAUUAUGUAAUUAACCCCUCUAAACGAUAGGAGUAUUUAUACGGAUACCAGGUGGAUUAUUUCUGGAUAUCCUUGCAAGCAUAAACCCUGCAUCAUGACUGAGAGAUAGGGUAUGUGAUGUGAUCCAGUGACCACAGAAAUGCGUUGGUAGACACAUUGCAUCAAAGUGCCUGUUAAUGACCAACUAUAAGAGGAGAGGGACCAUGCUUUUUAUAAGCAUGUCCAUACACGUAUUACAAUGCCAGGCUUUCAGUUUGUUACCAAAAAGCAAAAUGCAGUUGUGGAUAUAAACUCACGACGUAUCGUAAGAAAAACUGUUUGAACACCAGACUGAGACUCGAGAUCAGUGAACAGUGGACCAAAAUAGAUAAAUGAAAUCUUAUCAAUUAAUAUACUUUCAAUUUAUUUUCUUUAAAUUACUUUAUCCUCUGUAUUAACUAUGAAAUAUUAAAGUUAAAACAAUAACAUUUAAAAGCCAACUUUUAGUGUGGAUAGGAAUUACAAGGCCGUUCAUAAUGUGAGAUAAAGAACAGCUUUUUUUUAAAACCGAAUAGUCUGUGAACACAAAAUGACCUUGCGCUG
Pelobates cultripes (western spadefoot toad) is the source of this 678-nucleotide non-coding RNA. The record is from the annotation of a GenBank genome assembly. Lineage: Eukaryota; Metazoa; Chordata; Amphibia; Anura; Pelobatidae.